This 979-nucleotide long non-coding RNA is filed under the name Canis lupus familiaris (dog). RNAcentral describes it as "lncRNA (ENSCAFG00000052579.1)". The record is from RNAcentral. Lineage: Eukaryota; Metazoa; Chordata; Mammalia; Carnivora; Canidae.
AACAAUGUGGGCAUAUUAUAUAUAUAUUUUUAGAAUGAACUUAAAAAAUAAUAAACUCUAACUCCACUUUUGGCACUAAUUUCUUGAUUGCUAACAUGAUGCAUUUCUGCAAGAAGAGCUCAUUUCACAAUCUUUGAGGACAUUAUGUGUCUAAGACAAACCUGCAGGUGCUGUUGAGAACAGCAGAGCCAGCUGGAGGCUCUGGGAGGAAUUCCAUCUGGAAGAAAACAUGGUGUGUCCAGAGGGCAGAGUGGUGUGGUGGAGUCGGUGCUGGAGAUGAUGUGUGUACAAGAGCAGGACUCUGGACGGAGGCAGGGAUCUGGGCCAGCACAACAUGGAGAGGCUGAAGCUUCCUGGAGUGACCAGCAGGCAGGAGUAAGGGCCAGGUCCCUGAAAUCUAUGGAAGGAGAUUUUACUGGUGUGUCCACCUCCUCCUGGCCAGGCCACAGCUUUCUCAGCAGGUCCGGGUGGGGCCCGCAUACAUCUCAGAAAGUUCAGAAAUUCUCAGAAAGUUCUCGGAGUCUUCCCACACGUGUGUCCGUUGGAGACCCACCCGACCAGAAUGACGUCCAGCAGGACUCUUUCCAGGGGAGGGGCGGGUAAGUGGCUUCCAAAAUGUCUCAGAGGUUCAGAAAAACAACACCGAAGCAGUGACUCAGUGCUUGGGUUGUGCACAUUCUUCCCCAGUGAGGCCGGGCCCCACCAGAGCUCCUGCUCUGCGCCACAUCUGCCCCCCCCAUGCGAGCCACCCCCUCCACAUCGGGGAGGGAUGUUUUCACGUUCCCUGGCCGGCCCGGGCCUUCUGAAGGGUCAUUUGAACCUGAGUGGUGCAGUGAAGGAAAAAUAGCCGAUGGGAUGACAAAUGGGCUUGAUUUCAAAGCAAUGUGUUUGCAGACGGAGGCAGGGAGGUCCUCCUGCCCCGGCUUUGCUUGGAGUGCUGAGUCAUGACCGCUGGCUCAGCAGUAUUGCACAAUCGGCC